GAUUAACACAGAGCGAACUUGGCAAAAUACAAUGCAUGCUUCUGUAGUACGAGUAGUACAGUAUCAUCGGUAACAAUUGUGUAUAAGCCACCUAGCUAAUAAAAUACUGGGGCUUGCGGUCAUUUGUUACAUUUCAACCACAGCGAUUCCCCAAUUAAGGCGCAACAGAGUUCACCGGCAAAUGCAGGAACAACGGAAAUAAUAACUAAACCAACGAAUGAGAAAUGGUGGAGGCUACCAGAACAAAGAGACAUUUUUUCAGAAUAAACGUGAAAACCGUUACAGAACCACCCCCCACAACAGGACCAAGCAGCGUGGCAACAGGCAGGAGCAGGAGAGGCAGCGAUGUCAGGAUUUCUGGACAUGGGAGCAGAAUCUGGGCUAUACAACUUGGGAAGAGAUAGACAGGUGUGCGGUCGACCCAGGGAGAGUGCCGGAGCCCGCCUGGGAUUCGCUGGAGCAGUGCGAGGAGUGUUACAGGAGAAUGAGGUUGGAGAAACGGUAGGAAGCCCGAGAGUCAGCCCCAAAAACGUCUUGGGGGGCGGCACACAGGGAGUAUAGCGAAGCCAGGUAGGAGACCUGCGCCAACUUCCUGUGCUUACCGGAGAGCGAGAGGGACCGGGCAGGCACCGUGUUAUGCUAUGGAGUGCACGGUGUCUCCAGUGCGGGUGCAUAGUCCGGUGCGGUACAUACCAGCUCCUCGUACCGGCCGGGCUAGAGUGUGCAUCGAGCCAGGUAAGGUUGGGCAGGCUCGGUGCUCAAGAGCUCCAGUGCACCUGCACGGUCCGGUCUAUCCAGUGCCACCUACACGCACCAGCCCUCCGGUGGCAGCCCCCCACACCAGGCUUCCUGUGCGUGUCCAGAGCCCAGUACUCCCUGUUUCUCCAUCCCGCACUCGCACCUCAGAGCGUGUCCUCGGCCCAGUACCACCAGUGCCGGCACCACGCACCAGGCCUACAGUGCGCCACAUCUGUCCAGAGCUGCUAGAGUCUCCCGUCUGUCCAGAGCUGCUAGAGUCUCCCAUCUGUCCAGAGCUGCUAGAGUCUCCCGUCUGUCCAGAGCUGCUAGUCUGUAAUGAGCCGCCAGAGCCGCCAGUCUGUCAUGAGCCGCCAGAGCUGCCAGUCAGCAUGGAGCCGCCAGUCAGCAUGGUGCCGCCAGAGCUGCCAUUCAGCCAGGAUCUGCCAGGAGCAGCCAGAGCCGCCAUUCAGCCAGGACUGGCCAGAGCCGUCAGUCAGCCAGAAGCUGCCUCUCAGCUACCCCUCGGUCCUGAGCUACCUCUCAUUCAUGAGCUGCCCCUCAGUCCUGAGCUGCCCCUCAGUCCGGAGGAGUUUGUUUAGUCCAGUGGGGCCCUUUAGUAGGGUUGCCAAUCCUAGGUCGGUGGCGAGGGUCGCCAAAGCGGACAAAGACUAUGGUGGAGUGGGGUCCACGUCCUGCGCCAGAGCCGCCACCGCGGACAGAUGCCCACCCAGACCCUCCCCUAUAGGUUCAGGUUUUGCGGCCGGAGUCCGCACCUUGGGGGGGGUACUGUCACGUUCUGUCCAUAGUUCUUUUGUGUUUUCUUUGUUUUAGUGUUGGUCAGGACGUGGGCAUUCUAUGUUGUAUGUCUAGUUUGUCUAUUUCUAUGUUUGGCCUGAUAUGGUUCUCAAUCAGAGGCAGGUGUUAGUCAUUGUCUCUGAUUGGGAACCAUAUUUAGGUAGCCUGUUUUGUGUUGGGUUUUGUCGGUGGUUAUCUUUGUCAUUGCACCAGAUAGGACUGUUUCGGUUUUCACAUUUGUUGUUUUGUAUUUUGUAGUGUUCUCGUUUAUCGUCUUUAUUAAAGAUGUUGAACACUAACCACGCUUCAUUUUGGUCCUCCUCUCCUUCAACGGAAGAAAACCGUUACACUCAGUAAUAUGUUUUGGAUUUGCCCCAAACAUAACACUUUGUAUUCAGGAAAAAAAGUGAAUUACUUUGCCACAUUUUUAUUGUUAUUACUUCAGUGCCUUGUUGCAAACAGGAUGCAUGUUUUGUUAUAUUUUAUUCUGUACAGUCUGCCUUCUGUUCACUAUGUCAAUUAGGUUUGUAUUGUGGAGUAAUUACAAUGUUGCUAAUCUAUGCUUAGUUUUCUCCUAUCACAAC
Molecule: long non-coding RNA, 2117 nt
Organism: Oncorhynchus tshawytscha (Chinook salmon)
Lineage: Eukaryota; Metazoa; Chordata; Actinopteri; Salmoniformes; Salmonidae
Source: Ensembl